UUUUUACUGGUACUGUAUAUAUUAUUUUGCAUUCCCUCACUAAGCUAACUACCUUCACAACCAAGAGCACAUAGACGAACAGCCUUUGGAGUUCCCACUGGAGGAGUGGUUGCAGUGUUGCCAACUAAUUUUCAUGGAGAGCUGAGCACCUAUCAGAUCCUCUGCUGUCCUUCACCCCUUGGUGCAGUCUGCUGACCAUCGCUGGGGCCAGGAACAAGUCUGUCAACCGAAGUAGGAGCCAAGUGUAUCACCAUGCAACACUCUACCGAGGUUCCGGGUGAUCUCCCAUCUUCUUCAUAGUGGCCUCAGCUGGACUCCACUGGUCAGCUGGAAAUCCACCGCAUAACCUCUAGCCAGGUGAAUCAAGAGCUUCACCAGAGACGGAAGAGGAAGCGAGACAUCCUGGCCUUCCUACGUCACCGCCUUAUCUGCUUGUUGCCCUAGCACAGUGUUUCCCUACUCCAGUCCUCCAUCAGUAUACAUUUUUAUUGUAGCCCCAGACAAGCACAUCUGAUUCAACUUGUAAACUAAUCAUCAAGCCCUUGAGUUGAAUGAGGUGUGUUUGUCUGGGGGCUACAAUGAAAAUGUGUGCGGUUAGGGGUACUUGAAGACCGGAGUUGGUAAACAACGAGGAAGUUCUAUUAACCUGAGCCGCGGUGCACUGGUCUAUGACCCAUGGCGUGAAAGGGACAAAUCUGUGAGGGAGGAGUGCCCUUCUCAAAUCUAACAGUAAUUUGUGCCACUGUCAUGUUGUCGACAAGGCAGCAUGGUGAAUCUUUCAGAAACAUUUUUCCCUUAAAAUGUUAGAAUUUUCAAAAACUAGUUUAUUGUGAUUGCAGAUUAUGCCUUUAUCAAAAGCAAUCACUUUCACAUGUGAAAACACAGACCUACUCAUUACUCCACGUGCUUAGUCUAGCCUACAGUAGGCAAUCUCUUUUAACCCGCUGCAAACUGCUCCCAGUGGGGCAACCCGGGCCAGUAAUCGAAUCCCCGCUCACAUUUUAAGCCCUAACAGAGAUGCUCGACCCUAAACACGUGGACUGACUGCAGGUUAUAAAGAGGCAGAGGACAUGAACUGCAAGGCGAAAUACAGACCAUAGUUAAAGGGAUACUUUGGAAUGUGGCCCUUUAUCUACUUCCGCAGAGUCAGAUGAACUCAGCUGUCAUAGAUGUUCAAAUAAUCCAUAAUGUAAAAGGGAAUUUUAUUAUUUUCAACAUAUCAUUUAUUUAUUUCAAAAGUGACAGGUUUGCUGGGAUUGCGGCUGUGCAGAGACCACAGACAGUAGUAGCCUAAUGGAACAUAACAGGCUGCAUGGGAACGUGUUCAUGACUCAGCUUCUUGGUCGGCUACAAAUCAACCUGGCCAGGGAACAAUGGCAGCUUUUCAGUUGAUUUCAAUAUUUAAGAACUCUAAAUCAUCCAAAGGAAGAAAGAACAUGCCGAUAUCAUCUUGGAGGAAUCAAUUUAGUCCAAUAUAACGUAGACAUAGUCCAUUGCAAUGUGCACAAACCAUGUAUGGGAGAAGAAAAAAUAUCAUCUCAACAUUUCCUUCCCUCUUGACUUCCUCUUCCGGGAAUCGCCUAAGGAGAGGACAGACUGAAAUUAAUAGAUUGAAGGAAUAAAAAUGACAUACCAAUGACUUUAAAAUAGUAUGCCGAUAAUAUCCCGACAUUUGUAGUUACGAUUGCAUUUGAUGGAUCAGAAAGAGGCUUGGCAGGGGUGAGAAUGGACUUUUAUUAUGUUUCUUAUGCCAUUUCAUUUCCAAAAUAAUCAUAUAGUGCUACUGGUUGAAUCAAUCAUUAAAGCACUAAAUUAAUUUAAAUUAAAACAUCUUUCAGCAAAGACAGACUUACAAAACAACACAGUUUACAGGAAGCACAAAAAAAGUAAUUGUGUUAGUAGGUUAAAUAAUCCAUUUAGCUGUUUAUGUUGUUGUGAGGUUGGGCAGUUCAACAACAUAUGGGUACGGAGGUACAGGAAACAAAGACAAACUCCUUCAAAAAGACUACACACAGAGCAGAAAUGCUAAGCAAGUUCUUCCUACUGAGGUAUGACAUUGAAGUGUACUUGGAUAUAAAUGAUAAAUGUUCAACUGUGGCGUUUAUGAGGUGUCAGGUUGAUCUUAAGAUUUGUCAAGAUAUAAGAUUCAGGCUGACAAAAGGGCAUAAAGUAGCAGCCAAUAUGCCAGACAAAGUGCUUUAUCUAGGAUUAUUACAAUUUGUUUACCAGGGAUUUUAAAAAUGUUUACUGAAGAGGACAGUGUUAAUAGCAGGACAAAACAAUCUGAUUAAACCAGAUCCUGGUUAGACCGACGCACGUCUGUUAAUUGAAAUUAUGGCUUGGUGCUGAUGGGUUGAAUAAAAAUGUCCCUCUUGCAACA
Molecule: long non-coding RNA, 2380 nt
Organism: Oncorhynchus masou masou (cherry salmon)
Lineage: Eukaryota; Metazoa; Chordata; Actinopteri; Salmoniformes; Salmonidae
Exons: 4
Source: RefSeq, a predicted model, not a curated record